CGCGCUGCUCCUGUGUGCUACUUAAUAGCAAUGCUCGCGUAAUCAGCAGCGCAGCACUAGAGAAACGAUGCUUAUGGUUUCCAUUACUCAAGAUCAACAGUGAUGUGGAAGCAGACGAUUCUCUUUCAGACAGAAGUCAAAAGGCCAAUAGUAACGUAAUGCUAUAUCACAAUGUCUAUGUCAUUAACCUCACUUCAUUUAAUCAUGUAGGCAUUUUAUCAUCUCACAUCAUCCCAAGAAGAAGGGUGGAAGGGAUAUGAAUAUUGGUAUCCAGAGAGCAGAUUGUGGUGAUCUCCAAAACUGGCCAUUAUGGGUCCCUUGUCUUUGGAUCCCCUGAGAAGCCCACACACACUGCUUCUCAGGACAAGAACCCAGCUUCCAUACUGUGAGAAGCCAAAGCCAUGUGUAGGCACUUCAGUUGAGCCCUGAGCCAAUAGCCAGCAUCAACUCAGCCACUUGGUGAGUCAACUUGGCCUUCAGCCCAGCUAAGCCUCUGCAUGCCUCCGGCCCCAGCCACAGUCUGACUGCGGUCACGUGACAUCCCAAGUGAGGACAGCCACUGAGCCUGUCAGGACGCAGAACCAUCUGUGAUGAUAUGAUCUGUUUUAAGCUAAUAGGUUUUGAGGAGGUUUGACAUGAAAUAAUAGAUGGCAGGAACACCUGUUAUCAGAACCAACCAUUUUCCUCUGGUCCUUCCUUCCUUUUGCAAACAAAGGCAUGAUGUCUGCAGCUGGAAAAACCAUCUUGAGAACAUGAAGGAAAUACCAAGACAUUUUUAGAGACCCUGAGCCUGAAUUCCUUGAGCUAUAAAAGAAGCACCAGCAACCACAAACUUCCUGAGUUCAAGAUAUUAGAAAAAAGUCUUUUAUUUGGGUUUUGGAUCACAUGCAGCCAUGUUAACAAACUGAUACUCCAGGGAUGAGGUGAAUAUAUAAAAUGAUACCAUAAAGUGUUGUACUUUGCUAAACAGGGGCUACUGGUUCAGCUUUGAGUUUUGUGGACAAAGAAAAAGAAUCAGUAAUCCAAUUGCAAAAUUACUGGAGUACAUAAAAUAAAAAUCAAUCUAGCUGUUCAAUGGGAACACAGCAAUUUGAAGUAUUUCUCAUAGGUUCUUGUAAAAAAGAUUGGUGUGAUGUAGUAUACAACUUAUUCUCUGUCAAUCAGUUAAAUAAAACCUUGUCCUUCACAAUUUUAUACCUCUUCAGCAAAGGUAUAAUGCCAGAAAGUCCAAAACAAUUCUA
Long non-coding RNA from Manis javanica (Malayan pangolin), 1241 nucleotides. RefSeq lists it as uncharacterized. Lineage: Eukaryota; Metazoa; Chordata; Mammalia; Pholidota; Manidae. The record is from RefSeq and is a predicted model, not a curated record.